This is a non-coding RNA of Arachis ipaensis, 125 nucleotides long. Lineage: Eukaryota; Viridiplantae; Streptophyta; Magnoliopsida; Fabales; Fabaceae. The record is from RefSeq and is a predicted model, not a curated record.
GUUUAGUGAUUUCCACGAGUUUCGACUUUGAGUGACACAGGUUCGAAGACUUCGUUUGAAGCUGUGGGCGAUUGUUAGACCUUAUUUAUGAAUUAAGUUUUUGAUUUGAGUUGCUUUCAUAGAGU